GUGAAUAAUAUGGAUAGUAUUGUUUUGCCGUUAAAUAUUUUUAAUGGCGGCAAGUAUACAAAGAAGCUAUUAUGGAUUCACAGCUAUAUAUCAAAGAGAGAAUAAAACUUUUAAUUUUGAAAUCACACCUUUUAUUAUUUUUUUUUUCUUUUGUUUUAAAUCAUUAUUCUUUAAUAAUGAUAAUAAUAGGAUUUUAAAAGUAAAUGGGCUGUUAGUAGAUGAACUCUAAUUAGAAAUUAAUUAAAAAAAACGAAGUGAAUUGAAAUAUCUUAUUAACUUCAGGAAAACAAAUCAAACGAGAUUCUGCAAGUAGUGAGAAUGAAAGAGGAAUAGCCUAAUUAAGUAAAAUGGAGUACAUAUCUGUUUGAAUAUAAAGGGGAACCUUCCUCUAAGGCUAAAUAUGAUAUAUAAGCGAUAGUUGGAAGUACCGUGAGGGAAAGGAUUGAAAUAGUAGUUUUAUAAGCAGCUCGAGCGAAAUUUAAAUAAACGAUGAGAGCGUACCUUUUGCAUAAUGGGUCAGCAAGUUAAUAUUAGACGCGAGCAGUUAAGCGAAGAUAAACCAAUUAUGAAAUAAUGAUAUAGUAUCUAAGAUUAGACCCGAAGCCUAGUGAUCUUACCAUGAUCAGGGUUAUAAAAGCCCGGACGGGUUAUCGUUGUAAAGAUAUCCGAUGAAUUGUGGUAUGUUAGUGAAAGAUAAUACUGACUAGGAUAGCUGGUUUUCCGCGAAACCUAUAUAAGUAGGUAAUUUAAAUUACAUCAUAGCAGGUACAGAAUUGUGGUCUCAUAUAGCUAACAUGUCUAUGAAAUAGAUAUGUUAUCUGUAGACAUUGGGGGAUCGUGAAGAUUCUAUCAGUGAGUAUUUGUUCUCGGAAGGGCUAAGAUUAAUAUUGAAUAAUCAGACAUAGUACGCAAAGGUUGUAUGUCUAAAGGGAAACAGCCCAGAACAAGAGUUAAUAAGGUUCCAAAAUUAUUGUUAAGUGAAAUAAAAGUAGUAUUUGUCCCAGACAACCAGGAAAUAGGCUUAGAAGCGGCCAUUUUUUGAAGACCUCGUAGCAGAGCACUGGUUUGUAGACUGUUUAUAUGAUUUACAAGGAUAAAGCACUGAAAAUUUAACGGAUCUAAACAAUAUACCGAAACCUUGUCCAUAUAUAUUUAUAUAUCAUAGUUAUAUAUUGUAUGUAUGGGGUAGCGGAACAUUGGGCUAACCUAAGAUUUUUUCUUUAUAAGACUUAAUAUCAGGUAACCCAAGUGAGAAUGCUGACAUGAGUAACGAUAAAGGGAAUAACUCCCUCGCCUAAAGCUUAUGGUAUUUACUUAAAGUAACGGCCUCUAAGUUUAUGUAGUAGAGUAGUAAAAUAAAGUAACCAAAAUAAAGUAAAUGAAACGACGUUUUUUGUUGCUUCACUAACUUUAUAACGCUGUUUUAGUGUAUUACCUAGUCCUUUAGGAUUAAACGAUGAGCAAAUCUAGAGAGUUUACUGGCAAAUAACAUUUAUGCACUUAUAUAUAUAAUUAUGUAUAACUAGUGUAUAAAGAAGGUGAUAAAUGUUCUGGAAAACUGUAAACUCGACAUGAAACUGCAGAAAUGUAUAGUGUGAGUAGUAGAGAGAAAACACGAAAGGAAUUAAACGUUCCAUCAUGUCUAUAUCAACCGUACCUAAAUACUAUCGCAAGUAAGCAAGUAGAGAAUACGAAGGCGUUCGAGUGAACAAUCAUUAAGGAACUCGGCAAAUUAACUCUGUCGUAACUUAGGGAUAAGGUGGGCCAUUCCACUUGAUUAAUAUCAAGGUUGGAAGAGGAGGCACAGAAUGGUGUUGUACGACUGUUUAAUUAAAACAAAGCAUGCUGCAAAGAAAAAAAAAUUCGAAGUAUAGUGUGUGAACUCUGCCCUAUGACGGCUGGGUAUACUAUUUGCUUAAUUGACUAACAUAGGUUAGGCUUUGAAGGAAACCCCGUUCAAUGGCGGCUUUACAGAUGAGAGUCCUAAGGUAGCGUAAUACCUUGGCCGUUAAAUGCGGUCUUGCAUGAAUGACGUAACGAUACAACAGCUGUCUCGAUGAUUGGCUCGGUGAAAUUGGAAUAACAGUGCAGAUACUGUUUACCUGUAGAUAGACGAGAAGACCCUAUGCAGCUUUACUGUUGCUAGUUAUUGGGUAUGAUAUACCAAGUUUUAGCGUAUAAGGUAGUUGAUUUGACAGCAUUGUAACACCUUUACUUAUGGGGAUCAUAUUUAAUUACCACAAGUGGUGGAACAAUUGCUAGGUGGCAGUUUAUGCGGGGCACAGAUCCCAUAAAAAGUACCUGGGAGUAUCCAAAUUUUAAUUCUAAAAAAAAAACAUAUAUGCAAGCAUAUAUAUAUAUAGAGAUUACCUUUAUAUAUUAAAUAAAAAUUCUGUUACAGCAGUAGCCUGCUAUAUUUUUUAUUAUUAGUUUGCUAUUAGUGAUAAUUAAUUUAUUACUAAUCUAAUUAUUUAUCUAUUUAAGUUAGAACUUUUUUUUUAACCAAGUAGGAUUUUAACUAUCUAAAUAUAUAGAUGUAAUUAAAACAUUAUAUAGUUAUAAUAUAAAAUAUAUAAUAUACUAGGAAUGUUUUUUGUUGUUAACUAGUUUAUCUAUAAAUUAAUAAGAGAUAACUAGCUAAAUGAUUAUUAUUUUACUCAUAAAGUUUAACGGCUUAAUCUUGCUUUACUGUUUGACUUACAUGUCUUUCAGUCGCGUAAGCGGGGCAUAUGAUCACAAGAUGCAGAAAGGAAAGGUCUUGGAUUAUUGAAAAAGCUACGCUAGGGAUAACAGGCUAAUUGCGCCAGAGAGUUCAUAUUGAGUGCGCAGUUUGGCACCUCGAUGUCGGCUUAGCUCAUCCACAUGGAUGCAACAACCAUGAAGGGUUCGACUGUUCGUCGAUUAAAGAGUUACACGAGCUGGGUUAAAUACGUCGUGAGACAGUAUGGUUUCUAUCUUCUAGAGGAAAUUAGAAUAAAAUAAGGAUAGCCCCUUGUACGUAAGUAAAUGGGUAUAUUAACCUCUGGUUUACCUGCUGUUUAUGUUCCUAUAUUAAUAUAAAUUAUAAGUUUAUAUAAAAAGUACAUUCUUUUUAAUAUGGCUUAUUUUGGGGUUUUACUUUUCACUAUAGUAAUUUUUAACAUAGGCACGGCAGGAAGGCUAUGUUAGUUAAUGAUAAGAGCUGAAUACAUAUAGGCACGAAACUGACCUUAAGAUAUUCUUAAAUAAACGUAGUUUAAUACUACGAUUUUGGGUCCUUAUAGUUUAAAUAUGAAAAGAUUAAACAAGUAUAAUUUUAUAAAAUUAAUCAGGGUUUAAUAUUAUUUUUGUUAUUUUUACCAUAAAGAUUUUAAUUAAUAGGCUUUAGCUGAUAGAAUUGUGACAUUUUUAGGCACUAAGUACUAAUUUUUUUUUU
This 3415-nucleotide ribosomal RNA is filed under the name Peltigera ponojensis. RNAcentral's name for it is "large subunit ribosomal RNA". The stretch from base 208 to 3266 matches the Rfam family "Bacterial large subunit ribosomal RNA". The record is from RNAcentral. Lineage: Eukaryota; Fungi; Ascomycota; Lecanoromycetes; Peltigerales; Peltigeraceae.